Long non-coding RNA from Oreochromis aureus, 1451 nucleotides. The record is from Ensembl. Lineage: Eukaryota; Metazoa; Chordata; Actinopteri; Cichliformes; Cichlidae.
GACUCACAUGCUCAAGAUGCUGCCCAAUCUUCAUGGGCUCUCUUGUGUUUGUGUUAGUAGGGUUAAUGCAUGUUCUGCUUGUGUGUGUGAUUUUGUAUAUGUUUCUUUUUGUAGUGUUUCAGACUCCUUCACAAUUUUCCACUUAAGCAGUCAGUUUUCUUUUCCCCAGGUUUGCUAACCCAAAUUUUGAUUUCCCACAUUAAACAACAGCUUUCCUCUGUGUCCUUACUUACUCUCACUCUGUUGUCCUCUCCCACUUGAACAGUCCAACAGCCGGCAGUUCUUCUUCAGCUUUGUCCUGUGUCCCACUGUCUCUUCUUGCCAUCUUGCUCCGAAAGUGGCAAAUGUCAAACUCCAACAGUCUCCUCAGUUUUCCUCAAACGUCCUUUUCACAAGCACAGUGACUUUGCAGCUUGUUGGAAACACAGUGUCAUUCAUCCAAUCAGUCAGGAUGAUGGUUUGCUCUUCUUCUCCACUGCUGUUUGUCCACACUGCUGCUGCUUGCUGGGUCUCUUUGCUCAGGACUUUGCUGCUGUCUCUUUAUCUGCCAUGUUAUUGCUCUUUGGAACUGCAUUCCUUGUCUUCAGGGAGGAGUGAGAGCUCACUUGUGAGGAUGAGGGACACAUGGUGCUGUAAAUAAAUUAGCCAAAAAUUGGCCUGAACAUUUCCAAUGAUGUUAAACUAUAACUUUUGUCCGACCGCUGCAUAUGGGAAAUUGAUCCGGGUCUGCUCCUCACCUGCAAGUGACACACUGAGACAUUUUGAUCAUUAUUCUCAUUACUUAACCAACACACAGAACUCUCCUUUCUUAAAAGCAGAAAAUAAGAUUGUAGUUGUUCUUGGCUAAUAAACACAAAACUUUUUCCUAUUAUUUUCCAUCUACAAUGUAGAUUUUGUCUCUGUUUUACUCGUUUUUUACUCUACACUUUUUUUUCCUUUACACUAGCUGGUGACCUGCAGAAUCACCGCUCUCACAAUUGGAGACAAUUACGUUUACACAGCGCACACACACACUGCGACGUCAGGCACAUUCACACUCACUUUUCCAUCUGCAUAAAUAAAUCAUACGGCUGAUGAUUUGUGCCAUGGUGAUCCAUAAGUAUGAUCACAGGUUUAUUUAAUUAUUUUUCAACCCAACAAAGCAAAUAAACAAAAACAUGAUGCUGAUGCUAUGAACACUCUACACACAUGAAUCAAGAUCCAGGAAAACUGCUGCGCAUCUGAAAGAAGAAGCUGAACUCACGGAUACGCUACAUACUCGAGUUAUCAUAGUUCUGUUUCUCUCUCUUUGAUGAGUUCUCAGCCAGCUCCUGAUCUGAUAAUGUGUAGCUUGCUCAUCAGCUCAGAAGAGACAGCAACACAACCUCACACAGCGGUUGCGUGCUUUGCCCACAGUGGCAAAGACUUACACUUUCAUAUUCAACUCAGCUUCUCCAUCAUGUAGUCUUCAG